GUCCAUGCCGUAAACGGUGGGCGCUAGGUGUAGGGGACUUCCACGUCUUCUGUGCCGCAGCUAACGCAUUAAGCGCCCCGCCUGGGGGAGUACGGCCGCAAGGCUAAAACUCAAAGGAAUUGACGGGGGCCCGCACAAGCGGCGGAGCAUGUGGAUUAAUUCGAUGCAACGCGAAGAACCUUACCUGGGCUUGACAUACACCAGAUCGCUGCACAAAUGUAGCUUCCCUUGUGGCUGGUGUACAGGUGGUGCAUGGUUGUCGU
Molecule: ribosomal RNA, 263 nt
Filed under: uncultured bacterium
Lineage: Bacteria
Description: partial 16S ribosomal RNA
Rfam family: Bacterial small subunit ribosomal RNA
Source: RNAcentral